AACAAACGCUGGCGGCGUGCCUAAUACAUGCAAGUCGAACGGGGAAAGCUUUCGGGUGAGUACUAGUGGCGCACGGGUGAGUAAUACGUAGAUAAUCUGCCUUCGAGUUGGGGAUAACUAGUCGAAAGAUUAGCUAAUACCGAAUAAGACCACAAGAACUGAGGUUCUAGGGGUUAAAGGUUUUUCGCUUGAAGAUGAGUCUGCGCGAGAUUAGCUAGUUGGUGUGGUAACGGCUCACCAAGGCAACGAUCUCCAACUGGUCUGAGAGGAUGAUCAGUCACACUGGAACUGAGACACGGUCCAGACUCCUACGGGAGGCAGCAGUAGGGAAUAUUGCACAAUGGGGGAAACCCUGAUGCAGCGACGCCGCGUGAGUGAUGAAGGCCUUCGGGUCGUAAAGCUCUGUCGCAAGGGAAUAAUAAACUGAAUGUACCUUGCAAGAAAGGAUCGGCUAACUUCGUGCCAGCCGCCGCGGUAA
This 478-nucleotide ribosomal RNA is filed under the name uncultured bacterium. RNAcentral describes it as "partial 16S ribosomal RNA". It matches the Rfam family "Bacterial small subunit ribosomal RNA", at positions 29 to 523 of the family's 1533-position model. The record is from RNAcentral.